Molecule: ribosomal RNA, 319 nt
Filed under: uncultured fungus
Lineage: Eukaryota; Fungi
Description: eukaryotic LSU rRNA
Rfam family: 5.8S ribosomal RNA (bases 1-71)
Source: RNAcentral
GUGAAUCAUCGAAUCUUUGAACGCACCUUGCGCUCCUUGGUAUUCCGAGGAGCAUGCCUGUUUGAGUGUCAUUAAAUUCUCAACCUCACCAGUUUUGUAACGAGACAGGUGAAGGCUUGGAUGUGGGGGUUUUGCAGGCUGCCUCAGUGCUGGUCUGCUCCCCUGAAAUGCAUUAGCGAGCUCAUAUUGAGCUUCCGUCUAUUGGUGUGAUAAUUAUCUACGCCGUGGAUUGGACUCAUGCUUGCUUCUAACCGUCCGCAAGGACAAUUUACUUGACCAAUUUGACCUCAAAUCAGGUAGGACUACCCGCUGAACUUAA